Molecule: long non-coding RNA, 914 nt
Filed under: Zonotrichia albicollis (white-throated sparrow)
Lineage: Eukaryota; Metazoa; Chordata; Aves; Passeriformes; Passerellidae
Description: lncRNA (ENSZALG00000005137.1)
Source: RNAcentral
GGGAUGGGAGGGGACAAGAGAGAGGAAUGGGACAGGAACGGGAUAAAGGGACAGGAACGGGAUAAAGGGACAGGAGAGGGACAGGAGCAGGACAUGAGGACAGGAGCGGGACACGACAGAGGGACAGAGGGACAGAGGGACAGAGGGACAGAGGGACAGAGGGACAGAGGGACACAGGGACACAGGGACAGAGGGACAGAGGGACAGAGGGACAGAGGGACACGCUUCCCUACCAACCCGAAAUUCCCGACAGCAGCAGCCCCGGCGCUGUCCCUGGGCUGUCCCCCAUUGUCCCCAGGUUACCCCAGGUUAUCCCAGGCUGUCCCCAAACUGUCCCUGGGCUAUCCUGGGUUAUCCUGGGUUGUCCCCAAGCUGUCCCCAGGUUGUCCCGAGCUAUCCCAGGGCUAUCCCAGGGCUAUCCCAGGCUGUUCCUGUCUAUCCCAGGCUAUCCCAGAGUUGUCCUGGACUGUCCCCAAGCUGUCCCCAAGUUGUCCCAGGCUGUCUCUGUCUAUCCCAGGCUAUCCCGGGGUUGUCCCCGUUUUGUCCCUGGGCUAUCCCGGGAUGUCCCCAGGUUAUCCUGGGCUGUCCUGGGAUGUCCCCAAGCUGUCCCAGGCUGUCCCCAACUGUCCCUGUUUUGUCCCUGGGCUAUCCUGGGAUGUCCCCAGGUUAUCCUGGGCUAUCCUGGGAUGUCCCCAACUGUCCCUGUUUUGUCCCUGGGCUAUCCUGGGAUGUCCCCGUGCUGUCCCCAACUGUCCCCGGGUUAUCCUGGGCUAUCCCAGGCUGUCCCCAUCUGUCCCCGUUCUGUCCCUGGGCUAUCCCGGGAUGUGCCCAGGUUAUCCUGGGUUAUCCUGGGAUAUCCCCGUGCUGUCCCCAACUGUCCCUGGGCUAUCCUGGGAUGUCCCCAGGUUAUCCUG